AGGUGAUGGAAGAUUCACGAGGGUGUUAGCCAUGGAGGUCUGGUGAACCGUGUGCUUUCUUGGGACAUCUGGAGUUUCCUGUCCAGCAUCAGUUAUGCUUGCUACUUGGUGCCUCCGAUUCUGAUCAUCCUUUACAAUGGCCUUCAGGAAACACUUAUUCACUACACCGACACCAACAUGUUCUAUCUUUUCUCUGGACACUGUGUGCUGACCUUCGUCACUGGGCUGGCCCUGACGCUGUUCAUUGAGAAACCAUGUCAGGAACUGAAGCAGCGCCUGCUGGGCCAUGAAUGUUCUGGUUAAAACACAAAAGAAUGGAUGGGGCUUGUUGGUAAUGACGAGCAAAGACGAGGUGGCCUUGUUUAUGCAAUGAAUGCUUGCGUUCCUGAGAAGGGGUGUGAAUCUCAUUUUGUGAAAGUUUAAUAUAUACAUGUUCUUUGUAUUUAAUAUGUGAAAGAGUUCUUAGUGCUUAUGAUGUAAGAGAGUUCUAUAAAUUUUUAGUAGCACAAUAAUAAACUUCUGUUGUACCAUUUUAGCAAAAAAAAAACACACAAAAACUGGAUUUCUUUUUGAUUUAAUCUGCAUUUGAUUGUCUGUAUCAAUGAUCACAGGAAAUGAUUAAAUGUCGUGAAUUUAAUGU
RNAcentral lists this small RNA (640 nucleotides) under Pongo abelii (Sumatran orangutan). RNAcentral describes it as "retained intron". The record is from RNAcentral. Lineage: Eukaryota; Metazoa; Chordata; Mammalia; Primates; Hominidae.